CACAUGCAAGUCGAACGGUAACAGGAAGCAGCUUGCUGCUUCGCUGACGAGUGGCGGACGGGUGAGUAAUGUCUGGGAAACUGCCUGAUGGAGGGGGAUAACUACUGGAAACGGUGGCUAAUACCGCAUAACGUCGCAAGACCAAAGAGGGGGACCUUCGGGCCUCUUGCCAUCAGAUGUGCCCAGAUGGGAUUAGCUAGUUGGUGAGGUAACGGCUCA
RNAcentral lists this ribosomal RNA (219 nucleotides) under Salmonella enterica subsp. enterica serovar Muenchen. RNAcentral's name for it is "partial 16S ribosomal RNA". It matches the Rfam family "Bacterial small subunit ribosomal RNA", at positions 52 to 267 of the family's 1533-position model. The record is from RNAcentral. Lineage: Bacteria; Pseudomonadati; Pseudomonadota; Gammaproteobacteria; Enterobacterales; Enterobacteriaceae.